RNAcentral lists this ribosomal RNA (510 nucleotides) under uncultured bacterium. RNAcentral's name for it is "partial 16S ribosomal RNA". It matches the Rfam family "Bacterial small subunit ribosomal RNA", at positions 28 to 507 of the family's 1533-position model. The record is from RNAcentral.
GACGAACGCUGGCGGCGUGCUUAACACAUGCAAGUCGAACGAAGAGCGAUGGAAGCUUGCUUCUAUCAAUCUUAGUGGCGAACGGGUGAGUAACGCGUAAUCAACCUGCCCUUCAGAGGGGGACAACAGUUGGAAACGACUGCUAAUACCGCAUACGAUCUAAACUCGGCAUCGAGGAUAGAUGAAAGGUGGCCUCUUCAUGUAAGCUAUCACUGAAGGAGGGGAUUGCGUCUGAUUAGCUAGUUGGAGGGGUAACGGCCCACCAAGGCGAUGAUCAGUAGCCGGUCUGAGAGGAUGAACGGCCACAUUGGGACUGAGACACGGCCCAGACUCCUACGGGAGGCAGCAGUGGGGAAUCUUCCGCAAUGGACGAAAGUCUGACGGAGCAACGCCGCGUGAGUGAUGACGGCCUUCGGGUUGUAAAGCUCUGUUAAUCGGGACGAAAGGCCUUCUUGCGAAUAGUGAGAAGGAUUGACGGUACCGGAAUAGAAAGCCACGGCUAACUACGUG